RNAcentral lists this ribosomal RNA (253 nucleotides) under uncultured bacterium. RNAcentral's name for it is "partial 16S ribosomal RNA". It matches the Rfam family "Bacterial small subunit ribosomal RNA", at positions 524 to 776 of the family's 1533-position model. The record is from RNAcentral.
UACGUAGGGGGCAAGCGUUGUCCGGAUUUAUUGGGCGUAAAGAGCGUGUAGGCGGUUAGGUAGGUCCGCUGUGAAAACUCGAGGCUCAACCUCGAGACGUCGGUGGAAACCAUCUAACUAGAGUCCGGAAGAGGAGAGUGGAAUUCCUGGUGUAGCGGUGAAAUGCGCAGAUAUCAGGAAGAACACCCGUGGCGAAGGCGGCUCUCUGGGACGGUACUGACGCUGAGACGCGAAAGCGUGGGGAGCGAACAGG